RNAcentral lists this non-coding RNA (24 nucleotides) under Arabidopsis thaliana (thale cress). The record is from RNAcentral. Lineage: Eukaryota; Viridiplantae; Streptophyta; Magnoliopsida; Brassicales; Brassicaceae.
UUGAGCAACAGGUGGUGUGGACUG